This is a long non-coding RNA of Dreissena polymorpha, 3720 nucleotides long. RefSeq lists it as uncharacterized. The transcript has 5 exons. Lineage: Eukaryota; Metazoa; Mollusca; Bivalvia; Myida; Dreissenidae. The record is from RefSeq and is a predicted model, not a curated record.
GCUGACACAGAAAGGCAGUAAUGACUUGGUUGUGAACACCCAGAGCACAAUGCAUCCAUGCUGACACAGAAAGGCAGUAAUGACUUGGCUGUAAACACCCAGAGCACAAUACAUCCAUGCUGACACAGAAAGGCAGUAAUGACUUGGUUGGGUACACCCAGAGCACAAUAAAUCCAUGCUGACACAGAAAGGCAGUUAUCACUUGGCUGUGAACACAGAACACAAUACACCCAUGCUGACACAGAAAGGCAGUAAUGACUUUGCUGUGAACACAGAGCACAAUACAUCCAUGCUGAAACAGAAAGGCAGUCAUGACUAUGCUUUGAACACUCAGAGCACGAUGUAUCCAUGCUGACACAGAAAGGCAGUAAUGACUAUGCUGUGAACACCCAGAGUAAGAUAUAUCCAUGCUGACACAGAAAGGUAGUAAUGACUAUGCAGUGAACACCCAGAGCACAAUACAUCCAUGCUGACACAGAAAGGCAGUCAUGACUAUGCAGUGAACACCCAGAGCAAGAUAUAUCCAUGCUGACACAGAAAGGCAGUAAUGACAAUGCUGUGAACACCCAGAGCACAAUACAUCCAUGCUGACACAGAAAGGCAGUAAUGACUUGGUUGUGAACACCCAGAGCAAGAUAUAUCCAUGCAGACACAGAAAGACAGUAAUGACUUGGCUGUGAACACAGAACAAGAUUACCCCAUGCUGACACAGAAAGGCAGUUAUGACUCCGCUGUGAACACAGAACACGAUACACCAAUGCUGACACAGAAAGGCAGUAAUGACUUGGCUGUGAACACAGAGCACAAUACAUCCAUGCUGACACAGAAAGGCAGUUAAGACUUGGAUGUAAACACCAAGAGCACAAUACAUCCAUGCUGACACAGAAAGGCAGUAAAGACUUGGUUGUAAACAUCCAGAGCACAAUACAUCCAUGCUGACACAGAAAGGCAGUAAAGACUUGGUUGUAAACAUCCAGAGUACAAUACAUCCAUGCUGACACAGAAAGGCAGUAAAGACUUUGUUGGGAACACCCAGAGCACAAUUUAUUCAUGCUGACACAGAAAGGCAGUAAAGACUUUGUUGUUAACACUAAGAGAUCCAUACAUCCAUGGGGUGUGCCACAGACGCAAAUUACGCCCACUAUUUUGAACAAGGUGCUUUAAGUGAACAUGUCUGGUUUUGUUAUGAGCACUUAGCACUCCGAGCCCAAAAGGCCUCGCAUUGAAUUGAUGCAAGAGAAGGCUUUGAAAAAUAACAGCAGUUUUGUUGUGUGGUCCAGUACGCCCUUCGACUCUCAACCUUAAGAAAGCAGAACUCAAACUCGGCUCUUAGCAAUAUAAGCAAGACCAGCAUGUCAUCUCAGCUUCUUGAGCUUCAGUGAACUUUACUAGCAAACAUGACAAACGUCAUUGAAGUGAAAGUCGAUGACAACCCCCUUCUUGCACAAAUACUACAACUCGCUUAAGAAAUUCAUCAUGAAGACGUCUUGCGUCAGACUACCAAGCCUCCUAUCAAUAUCUCCUCCCAUGUUGGCUACAUCAACACUUCCAACAGCAGAGCCUUGGUGAAUUCGACUUCCGUCUCAGCAUCAAUGUUGCUUAACAACAAUUGGAUGAUGGACGUCGACAAAUUAGGCCGGACAAGUCGCUCGAACUGAAACGAUCUGAUCCAACAGGUAGAGCAGGCGUUGCGUGACACGUCCAUUAAUGUGACUGACCUCGAUAUGUUGUUCUCAAAUAAUGUGAACCUUAGGCCUGGAGAGCAGUAUGUGGUUGACGCCAUUCAACAACAGUUGUUGUCGGCAAUUCUCGGGUAUUGGGUGGCAACUUCGGCGUCGGGACUCACUCCAUCUCUGUCUAUGGCCCAGUCGCAGCAGCAGCAGCAGCAACAGCAAUAAGAACAAUACGUAGAAUCUUAGCGGUGUUCUGGAAUAUGGAUUUCAUGUAUGUGCUUAAAUUGUCAUCCCAGAUUAGCCUGUGCAGACUGCACAUACAUAAAGUCCUAUUAAAUUGUCAUCCCAGAUUAGCCUGUGCAGACUGCACAUACAUAAAGUCCUAUUAAAUUGUCAUCCCAGAUUAGCCUGUGCAGACUACAUAUACAUAAAGUCCUAUUAAAGUGUCAUCCCUGAUUAGCCUGUGCAGACUGCACAAACAUAAAGUCCUAUUAAAGUGUUAUCCCAGAUUAGCCUGUGCAAACUGCACAUACAUUAAGUCCUUUUAAAGUGUCAUCCCAGAGUAGCCUGUGCAGACUGCACAUACAUUAAGUCCUAUUAAAGUGUCAUCCCAGAUUAGCCUGUGCAGACUGCACAUACAUUAAGUCCUAUUAAAGUGUCAUCACUGAUUAGCCUGUGCACAUUGCACAUACAUUAAGUCCUAUUAAAGUGUCAUCACUGAUUAGCCUGUGCAGACUGCACAUACAUUAAGUCCUAUUAAAGUGUCAUCCCAGAGUAUCCUGUGCAGACUGCAUAUACAUAAAGUCCUAUUAGUGUCAUCCCAGAUAAGCCUGUGCAGACUGCACAUACAUAAAGUCCUAUUUAAGUGUUAUCCCUGAUUAGCCUGUGCAGACUGCACAUACAUUAAGUCCUAUUAAAGUGUCAUCCCAGAUUAGCCUGUGCAGACUGCACAAACAUUAAGUCCUAUUAAACUGUCAUCCCAGAUUAGCCUGUGCAGACAGCACAUACAUUAAGUCCUAUUAAACUGUCAUCCCAGAUUAGCCUGUGCAGACUGCACAUACAUUAAGCCCUAUUUUCCCAGAAUGAGGCUCAUAUAGUUCACUUCACAUCAGUCCUUUUAUGUGCCUGAUUGAAGAAAAUCUCCUAGCAUCAAAUGGUUAGUAUGUGUUUUUAAAAUUAAUCAAUUCGGUAAAUAAAUAGCAAAUAGCAAUUGAUCUCAUAUCAGGUUUAAUCAUAGAAGGUCAAGGCAUAGUUUUGUCUACGUUUCGGCCGAAAUUCAGCCCUUGAACCAAGCGUUUAUCCUUGCAUACAAAAUCCGCUGUAAUAGACUUGUUAAAUUUUAUUUAAUUUUAGCAAAACAAUUAUUUAAAUGACUUCAGCACAUUAUACAAUUAUUCCCUUCAAUAUUUAUUUAAGUUCCUAUAUUUUGUUUUAAGAGCCGGUUCCUAAAGGAUCCCAUGCAGUCAUAAAUCGGUACCCAGCUGAACAACAGGCUGUCUGGUAAGCUGGGCCCGGAUAGGUGCAGCCAGUCUAAAGCUGGGGCUCCAAACUGUCCUGCCAAGUGGGCUGAUAUUACCUCUUCUACAAGGGACAUAUGUCAGUGAUGCGCAAAGAGCUGGUGUUCUGUUCACAGAGAAAAAUCCUAACAACUCCAACUCAGCCACUACAUCUCAAUAGACAUCCUGAAUGUCAAGGCGUUAAGUUUCUUCUGGAUGCAGUUACAGUCACAGCUUUCAAGCCAGCAGCUGUCGAUGUAUUAAGAUUCUCUCCUCUCCAUGUUACCUGACCUGCUGCCUGUGAACAUCCUGCACAUAGAACCUUUAUCCCAAUCGAUGUAAUUAAACCGGCCAAUCAAAAAGAUAGCCUGGUACAGCACUUGUCAUUAGAUUGACGCCAUGCAUGCCUUUGAAGAUCAUUUAUACAUACAAUUUAAGCAUGAUAGUCAAUAAGUGCCUGCGUUGGCUUCUUAAACUACUCGCAGUCCUGAGCAUUAACGAUGGAAUUCCUCAUCUUGAAAUAUUGGGAAGGCAGGAAAACACCUGACAAU